RNAcentral lists this transfer RNA (74 nucleotides) under Methylophilus sp. RNAcentral describes it as "tRNA-Cys". It matches the Rfam family "tRNA". From Rfam's summary of the family: Transfer RNA (tRNA) molecules are approximately 80 nucleotides in length. The record is from RNAcentral. RNAcentral also lists the same sequence under 13 other names. Lineage: Bacteria; Pseudomonadati; Pseudomonadota; Betaproteobacteria; Nitrosomonadales; Methylophilaceae.
GGCGCGAUAGCAAAGCGGUUAUGCCGCGGCCUGCAAAGCCGUUUAGACCAGUUCGACUCUGGUUCGCGCCUCCA